GACAAGGUGGCCUAAUGGUUAGCGUGUUGGACUCCGGAUCGAGCAAUCCAGGUUCAAGUGCUGGCCAGGGUCA
Desmophyllum pertusum is the source of this 73-nucleotide non-coding RNA. The record is from the annotation of a GenBank genome assembly. Lineage: Eukaryota; Metazoa; Cnidaria; Anthozoa; Scleractinia; Caryophylliidae.